Molecule: small nucleolar RNA, 69 nt
Filed under: Leptobrachium leishanense (Leishan spiny toad)
Lineage: Eukaryota; Metazoa; Chordata; Amphibia; Anura; Megophryidae
Description: Small nucleolar RNA SNORD18 (ENSLLEG00000008214.1)
Rfam family: Small nucleolar RNA SNORD18
About the family: U18 is a member of the C/D class of snoRNA which contain the C (UGAUGA) and D (CUGA) box motifs.
Source: Rfam by way of RNAcentral
GCUAAAUGAUGAAUUCCACUUCUGGUCCGUGUUUCUGACACCCAUGAUCUUGUUGGAAGUUCUGAUCAG